RNAcentral lists this ribosomal RNA (317 nucleotides) under Corynebacterium diphtheriae. Its description in RNAcentral is "partial 23S ribosomal RNA". The stretch from base 82 to 317 matches the Rfam family "Bacterial large subunit ribosomal RNA", at positions 2655 to 2893 of the family's 2925-position model. The record is from RNAcentral. Lineage: Bacteria; Bacillati; Actinomycetota; Actinomycetes; Mycobacteriales; Corynebacteriaceae.
CCCCCCCCAAGAUGAGAUUUCCCAACUUCGGUUAUAAGAUCCCUCAGAGAUGAUGAGGUUAAUAGGUUCGAGGUGGAAGCGUGGUGACACGUGGAGCUGUCCUUAGUACGAGAGGACCGGGAUGGACAUACCUCUGGUGUACCAGUUGUCGUGCCAACGGCAUAGCUGGGUAGCUAUGUAUGGACGGGAUAAGUGCUGAAAGCAUCUAAGCAUGAAGCCCCCCCCCAAGAUGAGAUUUCCCAACUUCGGUUAUAAGAUCCCUCAGAGAUGAUGAGGUUAAUAGGUUCGAGGUGGAAGCGUGGUGACACGUGGAGCUG